RNAcentral lists this ribosomal RNA (460 nucleotides) under uncultured bacterium. RNAcentral describes it as "partial 16S ribosomal RNA". It matches the Rfam family "Bacterial small subunit ribosomal RNA", at positions 338 to 795 of the family's 1533-position model. The record is from RNAcentral.
CCUACGGGCGGCAGCAGUGAGGAAUAUUGGUCAAUGGACGAGAGUCUGAACCAGCCAAGUAGCGUGAAGGAUGACUGCCCUAUGGGUUGUAAACUUCUUUUAUAUGGGAAUAAAAUGUUCCACGUGUGGGAUUUUGUAUGUACCAUAUGAAUAAGGAUCGGCUAACUCCGUGCCAGCAGCCGCGGUAAUACGGAGGAUCCGAGCGUUAUCCGGAUUUAUUGGGUUUAAAGGGAGCGUAGGUGGAUUGUUAAGUCAGUUGUGAAAGUUUGCGGCUCAACCGUAAAAUUGCAGUUGAAACUGGCAGUCUUGAGUACAGUAGAGGUGGGCGGAAUUCGUGGUGUAGCGGUGAAAUGCUUAGAUAUCACGAAGAACUCCGAUUGCGAAGGCAGUUCACUGGACUGCAACUGACUCUGAGGCUCGAAAGUGUGGGUAUCAAACAGGAUUAGAUACCCUUGUAGUC